ACAGUGUUAGCGGCGGCGGACGGUGGCGGCGGGAGGUUCGGUUGUCGCCCGUUGGCCGCGAGGCGCCGCGUUCGGCGGCCGCCAUUGCAGCUUUUCUUCAGUUUGCUUUUCUGAAAGAAAAAGCUGAUGGUGCAAAUUGUGAUUUCCAGUGCUGGGGCUGGAGGCUUGGCAGAAUGGGUGCUGAUGGAGCUACAGGGGGAGAUCGAGGCUCGCUACAGCACUGGAUUAGCUGGAAACCUCCUGGGAGACCUACAUUACACCACCGAGGGAAUUCCUGUGCUGAUUGUGGGGCAUCAUAUCCUAUAUGGGAAAAUUAUCCGAUUGGAGAAGCCAUUUGCUGUCCUGGUAAAAAGUGGUUCUGGGGAACAGGAAUGUGAUGAAAGUGGCAGACAGACAGCAACUCGGUACCUAGCAAAGGCGCUAAUAAAGAACAAGAUUCUCUUCAAAACCCGCCCGAAACCCAUUAUCACCAACGUUCCCAAGAAAGUAUGAAAGAGCCAAGGAUUUUUUCUAGAGAGCGGCCAACUCCCUGGACUCGUGCCCCAUUCCCACCCCGAGGACGGAUAGACGGUUCCCUUGGUUCACCGAUGGCUCCUGUUUUGAAUGCAGGCAACGCAAUGGGGGAGUGGAAGCCUUUCCGGCCCCGGCCCAACUUUUCCUAGACCAGGAGGCCCAUUGGCUGCAAUGUACUCAAAUGGAAUGCUGCCACCCUAGAGACCACCCCCUUUUCGCCUAGGCUACAUUGGCUGCAAGGCACCGUGGCUCUGGGGAAGAUGGAGAGAGCUGUGUCCUGAAGGCCACAGGGAGGCUUGACUUGAUGGCCAUUUCUUUCCACGGCUUAUUCCUCCAAUGAAGAUGGAGUCUUCGCUUGGCUUGUGAGACAAGAACUCUGGCAGGCAAGCUCAGCCCUAAGGAUGGGGAGAAAGACUCCCAGUGACCUGUAGCCUGUGGUGCUUUCUCACUGCUUUGUGCUGAGUUCCUUCUCUCUUUCUUACUCAUUUCUUGGAUUGUUCACCUGGACUUUUCCUCAGGGAUGCAUAGGCCUGCCGGUCCCAGCUCAUUCUGUACUACCAUCUUCCCUACCAGAGAAACCCAGGUAGCUGCUUUUGUUAAUUGUGUUCCAGUUCAAACAUUACUCAGUAACUCUGUAUAGAGCAGCUCUGACUGGAUAAUCCUUUUCAGUUCUAAGUAAAGCUUGUUUCUUUAUGCCACAAACUGGACAUUGGCCAUCUCUGGAAUUCACAGGAGGCCAGAGUUGUGAAGCAGCUUCUCACCUGCCCUUCUUGCUACUGUUACUCCCAAUCAAAGAACCUCAAGAUUUUGAAUUGAUGUUGGCUCUGGGACCUGGGGGUGGGGGUGGGGAUGGGAGGUAAAGGGGAGGGGGAGGGUAAUAAUCACUGUUUUUCAGCCUGGUAUGAAGGCAUUGUUGGUGUUUCAUUCUACAAUAUAUCAUUUCUUACUGUUUCUUUAAUAAAUGGGAUGGAGGUUGUUGAUUUUGAGCCCAUUUUGUUACCUGGCCUAGGGGGAAGGAACCUCACCCAUGAGUUUUAAUUGUUUUAGCUGAAGUUGGCCAUGAGCCUACAUUCUCUUCUGUGUAGCUUGUCUAGUUGCUUUUGGUGCAGGAAUAAGAAAGCUUAACUUUGUGUUCACAGCUGGAGCUUUCUUACUCAUCUGCCUGAUAAAUUCGUCAAGGAUUUUGACCCACAUUACAACCUGAUUAGGUCUCACUUGUACAUAACAUCUUUAAUAUUGUCCUGAGCUAAAUGCACAAUCACCUUUGGCAGUUUUGUCACUUAAAUUGACUGAGUUUCUGUUGGAAAUUAUCUGGGAAAGUGGUUGGAUGGCAAAUAAACUAGAGAGCAAUGGAAGUUGAAUUUUAGUUCUUGUUCACUUAAAGACUCAGCCAGUAUCAAGCAGAGUGAACCUUUUACGCUUGGGAAACUGCUUUGCAAGAGAUCACAGUCAUAAAUUGUAUAUUACAUGGCAUACCUGUGUCUUGUAGCCCCCUCUGUCAAUUUCCAGGUUUGGGGCUCCCUGGUAGACACCUAAGUUUUCACUUUGAAUAACAAGAGUAAUGAGAGCCUCUGAGAAACAACAAGACUGGUGUUCUAGUGUGCAAAUUUUUUUUUAUUUUGACAAAUACAUCAUAGUAUAAAAAUUUUGACCUUUCUGAAAAGUGAAAAAAAUGCAGGUAAAAAAUAAAUACAUUUACAAAUCAUUGUAGAAAUAAGUAAAUAUAAAAGAUCAGAAAAACCCUAAAUUCCUCAUUAAAAUGGGAUUUGAGAGAAAAACGAAAUGUUUUCAUUAAUAUAAAGUCUCUUCCCUUGCAUGAAAUAGGGAUAAAGCAGAAGAUGUUUUGUUUUGUGUGUUUUACAGAAAAUAUAAAAAAUAACUUAUAAAAACCA
This is a non-coding RNA of Phascolarctos cinereus (koala), 2405 nucleotides long. The record is from RefSeq and is a predicted model, not a curated record. NCBI's taxonomy places the organism in Eukaryota, Metazoa, Chordata, Mammalia, Diprotodontia, Phascolarctidae.